UUUCCAUAAACUAGGUCUUUAAGUUAAAUCUCAGACCACUCUAGAAGCCACAUUUAUGACUCAGUCAUGUUUAAAAUAGGGCAUAAUGUUUAUCUUGACAAUAUCAUCUUAUAAUCAAUGCCAUUUUCGAAACUCGCUUAAGUGCGGUCAACAACUAUGUCAAAAGGGCAAGUCUUCUACCAAAGUUUUAAGUCGAACUAAGUCUUCAGGGCCAUCCUGACCCUUUUGUUACAAUAAGCAGGAUGCAGAUAUUUUUCAAAAAACGAUAUUUUGCAUUGUUUUCAAUUAAAGAACUUAAAGAUUGUAUUUAAAGAAAAUCGUUACAUUUAAGGAAUAUUGUUUUUUUUGCUCAGUGUACUUAAAAUACUUACAUGUGUAUCGCAUUUAAAUUCAGACUAAAAUGCAUGUUAUGUUUUCAUUCUAUUUUCAAAGAUAUCUGUCAGUUGGCGGGAGAAUGAUCGAGAUGUUUAAAUAGCAAAAUAUGCACACAUUGCUGCUUCAGCUUCAAUAUGAAAUGCAGCGGCAGUGGCAGAAGCAACACACUCACAAUUCAACAAUAAACAGUUCCAUUGACGAGCGCUUUUAAAUGACAACAUGUCAAUGAACAAGGCACCUUUCUCUGAAAACCUCGCCGAGCUAAUGAACAGUGCAACUGCGCCAUAUGUGACCCUUCAGAGAAUGGAAUUCCUAGCCAAAUAUCUAAUCGGUGCCAAUCUGGGCUCUAGCAGCAGCCUCAGCCGUGGGGGACAGGUUUAUGAAGCAAUCUGGGCUCCAGCAGCAGCCUCAGCCGUGGGGGACAGGUUUAUGAAGCAAUCUGGGCUCCAGCAGCAGCCUCAGCCGUGGGGGACAGGUUUAUGAAACAGGGCUCCAGCAGCAGCCUCAGCCGUGGGGGACAGGUUUAUGAAGCACCCUGAACUUCUCAAUCUCACAGCAACAGUAGAUCAACAUGACCUCUAGCAGCAGCCUCAGCCGUGGGGGACAGGUUUAUGAAGCACCCUGAACUUCUCAAUCUCACAGCAACAGUAGAUCAACAUGACCUGAAAGCGGUUCGUGUUCAGUGUCUAACAGUAUUCUAAUGACCAAGCCACGUCAGCAAAGCAGCAAUAACAGCAGUCAAGUCGAGGAUCACCCAAAACCACUUGGUGCCUAGCGAUGAUUUUUUCUGCUACCAACUUGACCUGGUUAUUGUACUCACGUGGGCGUCAGGUUAAAGGUCACAUAAGGUUUAAUCAGCAUAUAUGGCCAUGGUAGUAAGAAAAUUUAAGAUCAUAAAGGGACUUGUUGACCAACUCGAUGACCAAGUUAUUUAAUAUUGUUCCAAAUGUAUAAACGAAAUGACUGCAAUGCAGGGCAUCACAAGAAAAUCUACAUACUUUCCCCUUUAAAUGUGUAAAAUUAACAAUAUACAAAAUUACUACAAAACAGGCAUUUAC
Molecule: long non-coding RNA, 1433 nt
Organism: Dreissena polymorpha
Lineage: Eukaryota; Metazoa; Mollusca; Bivalvia; Myida; Dreissenidae
Exons: 5
Source: RefSeq, a predicted model, not a curated record